CAUGGAUUAAGCCAUGCAAGUGUUAGUUCAGGCAACGAAACUGCGAAUAGCUCAUUAAUACACUGAGAAUCUAUUUGAUGGCGAACACACGUGUUCUACUAUGGAUAGCAGGAGUAAAUCUCGUGCUAAUACAUGCAAGUGUUUCUCCGGAAAUGAAUUACGGAGGAAAAGUUGACCCUAUGGGCACAUCAUUCGACUCAGUGACCUAUCAGCUUGUACUUAGGGUCUGUACCUAGGUAGGCUAUCACGGGUAACGGGCGGUUACCGUCGGACUGCCGGAGAAGGCGCCUGAGAGAUAGCGACUAUGUCCACGGGCAGCAGCAGGCGCGAAACUUACCCACUCGAGACGAUCGGAGGUGGUAAUGACCAGUUCCAUUUCCAGCCACAAGGCCGGAAUGGGUAGGAUGCCGCUUUUCCAGCGGUGUGAAAUCUAGCAGAGGGCCAGUCUGGUGCCAGCAGCUGCGGUAAUUCCAGCUCUGCAAGUUUGCUCCCAUAUUGUUGCAGUUAAAACGCCCGUAGUCUGAAUUUGCUCGUAAGAGUAGGAAUCCAUUAGUGGAGUUCACUGUGAACAAAUCAGGACGCUUAGUGUAUUUCUUUGAAUGAAUGACUCAGCGCAGUAUGAAAUAUUUACCGUAAGGUAAGCUCAAAGAGAGCCAUCGGGGGUAAGAUCUAUCUCAUGACGAGUGGUGGAAUACGGUGACUCAUGAGAGAGACACGGAGGGCGAAGGCGUCUACCUAGAGGGUUUCUGUCGAUCAAGGGCGAGAGUAGGAGUAUCCAACCGGAUCAGAGACCCGGGUAGUUCCUACUAUAAACGAUGCCGACAGGGGCUUGUCUUUUUUUAAAGGCAGGACCUUAGGAGAAAUCAUAGUUCUCGGGCUCUGGGGGAACUACGACCACAAGGCUGAAACUUGAAGGAAUUGACGGAAGGGCACACCAGGGGUGGAGCCUGUGGCUUAAUUUGAAUCAACACGGGAAAACUUACCAGAACCAGAUGUUUUUUAUGACCGACAGGCUAGGGGUCUUUCGGGAUAUGAUUUUUGGUGGUGCAUGGCCGUUGGUGGUGCGUGGGUUGACCUGUCUAGCGUUGAUUCAGCUAACGAGCGAGAUUAUCGCCAAUUACUUAGACUAGCUUGGUUUUCAAGUUUAGCCUUCUAAUUGGGACUCCCUGCGAUUAAGCAGGAGGAAGAGGGUAGCAAUAACAGGUCCGUGAUGUCCUUUAGAUGCUCUGGGCUGCACGCGUGCUACAAUGUUAGUCUCAAAGGGUUUUGCUCACCUGAUAGGGUUUUAGCUACUCCCGGAAUGUCUAACGUAGUUGGGAUUGACGAUUGUAAUCAUCGUCAUGAACCAGGAAUCCCUUGUAAAUGUGUGUCAACAGCGCACGUUGAAUACGUCCCUGCCCUUUGUACACACCGCCCGUCGCUCCUACCGAUUGGAUGACUCGGUGAAAUUACUGGACUCUACGGAGGAAAGUAAUUAAAUCACGUUAUCUAGAGGAAGGAGAAUCUAAAAGGGGGAAAGGGGAAAGGCCCUUUCCG
RNAcentral lists this ribosomal RNA (1536 nucleotides) under Hypotrichomonas acosta. RNAcentral's name for it is "SSU rRNA". It matches the Rfam family "Eukaryotic small subunit ribosomal RNA". The record is from RNAcentral. Lineage: Eukaryota; Parabasalia; Hypotrichomonadida; Hypotrichomonadidae.